This 372-nucleotide ribosomal RNA is filed under the name uncultured bacterium. RNAcentral's name for it is "bacterial SSU rRNA". It matches the Rfam family "Bacterial small subunit ribosomal RNA", at positions 527 to 898 of the family's 1533-position model. The record is from RNAcentral.
GAACCGUCCUAACGUUGUUCGGAAUCACUGGGCUUAAAGGGCGCGUAGGCGGCUGAUCAAGUCCGGGGUGAAAGCCUCCAGCCCAACUGGAGAAGUGCCUUGGAUACUGGUCAGCUUGAGGGAGGUAGGGGCAACUGGAACUUCCGGUGGAGCGGUGAAAUGCGUUGAUAUCGGAAGGAACGCCGGUGGCGAAAGCGAGUUGCUGGAUCUCUUCUGACGCUGAGGCGCGAAAGCUAGGGGAGCAAACGGGAUUAGAUACCCCGGUAGUCCUAGCCCUAAACGAUGGGUACUAGAUUGUGGGCUUAGCAUGGGUUCACAGUCGAAGCAAAAGUGUUAAGUACCCCGCCUGGGGAGUAUGGUCGCAAGGCUGAA